GAAUAUUGGACAAUGGGCGAAAGCCUGAUCCAGCCAUGCCGCGUGCAGGAUGAAGGCCUUCGGGUUGUAAACUGCUUUUGUACGGAACGAAAAGUCUCGGGCUAAUACCCUGGGACCAUGACGGUACCGUAAGAAUAAGCACCGGCCAACUACGUGCCAGCCGCCGCGGUAAUACGUAGGGUGCAAGCGUUAAUCGGAAUUACUGGGCGUAAAGCGUGCGCAGGCGGUUUUGUAAGACAGAGGUGAAAUCCCCGGGCUCAACCUGGGAACUGCCUUUGUGACUGCAAGGCUAGAGUACGGCAGAGGGGGGUGGAAUUCCGCGUGUAGCAGUGAAAUGCGUAGAUAUGCGGAGGAACACCGAUGGCGAAGGCAACCCCCUGGGCCUGUACUGACGCUCAUGCACGAAAGCGUGGGGAGCAAACAGG
RNAcentral lists this ribosomal RNA (425 nucleotides) under uncultured bacterium. Its description in RNAcentral is "bacterial SSU rRNA". It matches the Rfam family "Bacterial small subunit ribosomal RNA", at positions 359 to 776 of the family's 1533-position model. The record is from RNAcentral.